UACGGAGGAUGCAAGCGUUGUCCGGAAUCACUGGGCGUAAAGCGUCUGUAGGUGGCUCAGAAAGUCCGCUGUUAAAUCUUAGGGCUCAACCCUAAACCAGCAGUGGAAACUUCUAGGCUAGAGUGUGGUAGGGGUAGAGGGAAUUCCCAGUGUAGCGGUGAAAUGCGUAGAUAUUGGGAAGAACACCGGUGGCGAAAGCGCUCUACUGGGCCAUAACUGACACUCAGAGACGAAAGCUAGGGGAGCGAAUGGG
Molecule: ribosomal RNA, 253 nt
Filed under: uncultured bacterium
Lineage: Bacteria
Description: partial 16S ribosomal RNA
Rfam family: Bacterial small subunit ribosomal RNA
Source: RNAcentral